Molecule: ribosomal RNA, 470 nt
Filed under: uncultured bacterium
Lineage: Bacteria
Description: bacterial SSU rRNA
Rfam family: Bacterial small subunit ribosomal RNA
Source: RNAcentral
GCAGAGCACUCCUAGGGAGGCAGCAGUGGGGAAUAUUGCACAAUGGGCGCAAGCCUGAUGCAGCCAUGCCGCGUGUAUGAAGAAGGCCUUCGGGUUGUAAAGUACUUUCAGCAGUGAGGAAGGUGGAUAUGUUAAUAGCAUAUUCAUUUGACGUUAGCUGCAGAAGAAGCACCGGCUAACUCCGUGCCAGCAGCCGCGGUAAUACGGAGGGUGCGAGCGUUAAUCGGAAUUACUGGGCGUAAAGCGCAUGCAGGUGGUUGUUAAGUCAGAUGUGAAAGCCCGGGGCUCAACCUCGGAAUUGCAUUUGAAACUGGCAAACUAGAGUACUGUAGAGGGGGUAGAAUUUCAGGUGUAGCGGUGAAAUGCGUAGAGAUCUGAAGGAAUACCGGUGGCGAAGGCGGCCCCCUGGACAGAUACUGACACUCAGAUGCGAAAGCGUGGGGAGCAAACAGGAUUAGAUACCCUGGUAG